UAUGCCCACAUCACAAUGAAACACUGGUCCCCAUGUGAUCAUCAAAGUUAAGCAAUGUUGAGCCUGGUCAGUACCUAGAUGGGUGAAUACUUGGGAAUGCCAAGUGG
Molecule: non-coding RNA, 107 nt
Organism: Acanthosepion pharaonis
Lineage: Eukaryota; Metazoa; Mollusca; Cephalopoda; Sepiida; Sepiidae
Source: the annotation of a GenBank genome assembly